GGGAAGAAGGGUGAGUGAGUGCAUAGGAUGAAAAUCAUGUCGAAUUCUUUUAGGAAUGCUAGAGCAUACCUCAUGGAGAAAGUAAUGACAACAAUCACAACCAUAAGCUACCCCGAAAAUUAUAAUAGUACACAUGUUGCAUUUUAUAACUUCUCUUCCUUUAAGGUGGAAUCUUAGCAGAGGAUGUCUGUGUCUGAAAUGCACCUGAUCACCAUCACGAAGACGAGG
RNAcentral lists this long non-coding RNA (228 nucleotides) under Solanum tuberosum (potato). RNAcentral's name for it is "long non-coding RNA (STUB_LNC007962)". The record is from RNAcentral. Lineage: Eukaryota; Viridiplantae; Streptophyta; Magnoliopsida; Solanales; Solanaceae.